AUUGAACGCUGGCGGCAUGCUUUACACAUGCAAGUCGAACGGUAACAGGCCGCAAGGUGCUGACGAGUGGCGAACGGGUGAGUAAUGCAUCGGAACGUGCCCAGCCGUGGGGGAUAACUACUCGAAAGAGAAGCUAAUACCGCAUACGAUCUAUGGAUGAAAGCGGGGAACAGUAAGGCGUCGCGCGAUUGGAGCGGCCGAUGUGAGAGUAGGUAGUUGGGGGGGUAAAGGCUCACCAAGCAAACGAUUUGUAGCUGGUGUGAGAGGACGACAGGCCAAACUGGGACUCAGACACGGCCCAGACUCCCACGGGAGGCAGCAGUGGGGAAUUUUGGACAAUGGGCGCAAGCCUGAUCCAGCAAUGCCGCGUGCAGGAAGAAGGCCUUCGGGUUGUAAACUGCUUUUGUACGGAACGAAACGGCUCUGGUUAAUACCCGGGGCUAAUGACGGUACCGUAAGAAUAAGCACCGGCUAACUACGU
RNAcentral lists this ribosomal RNA (481 nucleotides) under uncultured bacterium. Its description in RNAcentral is "partial 16S ribosomal RNA". It matches the Rfam family "Bacterial small subunit ribosomal RNA", at positions 29 to 506 of the family's 1533-position model. The record is from RNAcentral.